UAAUACGUAGGUGGCGAACGUUAUCCGGAAUUACUGGGCGUAAAGGGUCUGUAGGCGGUCUUAAAGGUCCGGCGUGACAAUUCUCGGCUUAACUGAGAGAGUGCGUUGGAAACCGGAAGACUAGAAUCACGUCGAGGUCGGUGGAAUUCCCGGUGUAGUGGUGGAAUGCGUAGAGAUCGGGAGGAACCCCUAAAGCGAAGGCAGCCGGCUAGACGAUGAUUGACGCUGAGGGACGAUAGCGUGGGGAGCGAACAGGAUUAGAUACCCUGGUAGUCCACGCCGUAAACGAUGUGUGCUCGGUGUGUGUGGGUAAAACCAUGCGCGCCUAAGUUAACACGGUAAGCACACCGCCUGGGAAGUACGGCCGCAAGGCUA
This 375-nucleotide ribosomal RNA is filed under the name uncultured bacterium. RNAcentral's name for it is "bacterial SSU rRNA". It matches the Rfam family "Bacterial small subunit ribosomal RNA", at positions 521 to 896 of the family's 1533-position model. The record is from RNAcentral.